Molecule: ribosomal RNA, 741 nt
Filed under: Globisporangium irregulare
Lineage: Eukaryota; Oomycota; Peronosporomycetes; Pythiales; Pythiaceae
Description: eukaryotic LSU rRNA
Rfam family: 5.8S ribosomal RNA (bases 297-451)
Source: RNAcentral
CACACCUAAAAACUUUCMCGUGAACUGUCGUUAUUUGUUGUGUGUGUGCSCSUUGGUAGCAUGCGUGUUUGCUUACGCUUCGGUGUUUGCGAGUGCGCGUGCUGGCGGUGCGCASACUGAACGAAGGUCGUGUGUUGCUGUGUGCCUGCUGCACCGCUGACUUUGCAUUGAUUUGCAUGAUGUUGGCGGAGCGGCGGGUGCUGUUGCGUGCGCGGCUGACCUAUUUUUUUCAAACCCCAUACGUAAAUGACUGAAUAUACUGUGAGAACGAAAGUUCUUGCUUUUAACUAGAUAACAACUUUCAGCAGUGGAUGUCUAGGCUCGCACAUCGAUGAAGAACGCUGCGAACUGCGAUACGUAAUGCGAAUUGCAGAAUUCAGUGAGUCAUCGAAAUUUUGAACGCAUAUUGCACUUCCGGGUUAUACCUGGAAGUAUGUCUGUAUCAGUGUCCGUAAAUCAARCUUGCGUUUCUUCYUUCCGUGUAGUCGGUGGAGGAGAGUUGCAGAUGUGAAGUGUCUCGCUGUGGUUGGUGUUUGUUGUUUGCAAUGAAUGCACAGCUUGCGAGUCCUUUUAAAUGGACACGACUUUCUCUUUUUUWGUAUGUGCGCGGUGCUGUGCGUGAACGCGGUGGUUUUCGGAUCGCUCGCGGCUGUCGGCGACUUCGGUGAAUGCAUAAUGGAGUGACCUCGAUUCGCGGUAUGUUGGCUUCGGCUGGACAUGUUGCUUAUGUGUGUCUGUCCG